This 305-nucleotide ribosomal RNA is filed under the name uncultured bacterium. RNAcentral's name for it is "partial 16S ribosomal RNA". It matches the Rfam family "Bacterial small subunit ribosomal RNA", at positions 508 to 809 of the family's 1533-position model. The record is from RNAcentral.
ACAGCAGUCCCCGGUAAUACGAAGGGUGCAAGCGUUAAUCGGAAUUACUGGGCGUAAAGCGUGCGUAGGCGGUUUGUUAAGUCUGUUGUGAAAUCCCCGGGCUCAACCUGGGAAUGGCAAUGGAUACUGGCAGGCUAGAGUGUGAUAGAGGAUGGUGGAAUUCCCGGUGUAGCGGUGAAAUGCGUAGAGAUCGGGAGGAACAUCAGUGGCGAAGGCGGCCAUCUGGAUCAACACUGACGCUGAGGCACGAAAGCGGGGGGAGCAAACAGGAUUAGAUACCCCAGUAGUCCCUGUCUCUUAUACAC